GGGGAUUUAGCUCAGCGGUAGAGCAUUUGCCUAGCAAGCGCAAGGCCCUGGGUUCGGUCCCCAGCUCCG
Rattus norvegicus (Norway rat) is the source of this 69-nucleotide non-coding RNA. Lineage: Eukaryota; Metazoa; Chordata; Mammalia; Rodentia; Muridae. The record is from Rfam.